UCACUAAAACAAAUUCCUAGUAUGUCCUGGCUCUUUCUGAUUCUGAUUCUGAUCAACAGGGGGCGCGAUGCUCCAUUUUCACUUUCAACCAAAAAUCAACCAAGGAAGAGCGCUAUUGAACACGCGCGGGAACAACAACCGUUUCUCGGCAACAGGCAACGUGCUCACAGCCUUCUUCAGGACUCUCUAAAACAACCAGAUUAACUAUUAUAAUGCUGCUGCUGCUGCAGAAAACACCGAAGAACAGAAAAUACCGAUUAAGACCAUUUAAUUCUGGCGACAUUUUAACAAAAAAGAAGAAAAUUAGUGGAUUUCAUUCAUUUCCUUCUUGCAGCAGCUGACACAAAUUUCAUGAGAAGGGAAGGAAUUAUUUAAAAGGUAUUUAAAAGGUGGCAUUUUUGUCUGUAUCUGGAGGCCAUUGCUAAGAGUCUGGGGACUUCUUUGCUGCCAUCGUGGAGCUGAUGAGUCUGGAAUAAAACGUUCAGUGGAAGAAACGUCACCAGUAUUCAAUGUCCAAAGCUCUGUCCGUCCAUGGUGGUGAUCCUGAAGUUGUUUUCUUCACACAGAUGAUCAUUUUUGAUGAAUUGAUGACCAGUAGAUGACCAGAAGAAUUCUUGGACCUACAUUUGGAGCCAAGUUUAAAGACUGAGAAGAUUUAUGUACUUCCCCUCAAAUCUGCCUGACGUCCCACCGACAUACUGGCAGAAUGUGAUGUGUUCUGGCCAAGGUACUUUAUUACUACUGUGCACUCAGGAGAAGACACCAUUAGGGCUGUGCCAAUGGAUGAUAUCAUCGUCCAUCAUGAUGGCUGACCGACAUCACGAUGGAGAGACACCAUCGUGAUGCCACGCCCCUGCCCCGGCCCCACUCUGCUUCGAGUCUUGCGAGUCGACACCAUAAACUGUAAAUAAAUACACAUCCUAGUCUCUUCUAUAGACUAUAGUUAACCUAAAAUCUUUGCAGGAAUUGCUCUGUAAAUUAAAUUAAGAAUAUAACUAAUGCAUAUAUGCUAUUUUAAAUACUGUAGUCUAUGCCAGAGACAUGAUGUGUGUUAGUCUGUGAAAAUACUGUGUCAGGCAUUUGAUCUUGACAUUGUUAGAAUCUCGUCUUUUUACAUGUCUAACACUGUACAUUUAACUUAAAAUAUUUAAUUUUGUACAAGAAAACAGCCCUUAUUAAUGAAUUAUUAGUAGCCUAUUGUAGUGCCACGGGAGAUCAUGCUCAUUGUAGCUCUGUGGCUAUACUGCACUGAAGCGGCAGUUUAAGAUAUAAACACAGGACGCUACUUUUUUUUUUUCCUCUCAAGUGCAACCUAUUGGAAUGCCCGGAUGACGAAAUUAUAGUUUUUAAGAAGAAAAAAAUAUUUAUGUAAAGAGAUAUAUUAAAAUAAAAAGUGCUUAAAAGUGCACAACUCUUAAGUGGAGGAAAGCUACUUUUUCCCCUAUUGGAAAGCCCGGAUGGCAUUAGUUGGGUUAGUAAAAUAACGAAAUUAUAGCUUUUAAGUAGAAAAUAGUAUUUAUGUAAAGAAAUAUAUUAAAAUAAAAAGUGCACAACUCUUAAGUGGAAGGAAGCUACUUUUCCCCCCUCACGUGCAACCUAUUGGAAAGCGCGGAUGAGUCAUUAGUUGGGUUAGUAAAAUAACGAAAUUAUAGCUUUUAAGUAGAAAAAAAAAUUAUGUAAAGAGAUAUAUUAAAAUAAAAAGUGCUUAAAAGUGCACAACUCUUCUUAAGUAGAAGAAAGCUACUUUUUCCCCGUAUGUGCAACCUAUUGGAAAGCCCGGAUAUGGCAUUAGUUGGGUUAGUAAAAUAACGAAAUUAUAGACCACUUUGGAGCAGACGUCACAAUGACGUCACUUGCAGCUGCGCGCGCAUAGUGGUUGCAGAAAAAUAGCAGUAGCAAUUGGAGGAAAAUGUGCAAAAUCCACAGAAUAAGAGA
Long non-coding RNA from Megalobrama amblycephala (Wuchang bream), 1935 nucleotides. RefSeq lists it as uncharacterized. NCBI's taxonomy places the organism in Eukaryota, Metazoa, Chordata, Actinopteri, Cypriniformes, Xenocyprididae. The transcript has 4 exons. The record is from RefSeq and is a predicted model, not a curated record.